RNAcentral lists this ribosomal RNA (742 nucleotides) under uncultured bacterium. Its description in RNAcentral is "bacterial SSU rRNA". It matches the Rfam family "Bacterial small subunit ribosomal RNA", at positions 94 to 823 of the family's 1533-position model. The record is from RNAcentral.
AGCGGCGGACGGGUGAGGAACACGUGGGUAACCUGCCCAAGAGACUGGGAUAACACCUGGAAACAGAUGCUAAUACCGGAUAACAACACUAGACGCAUGUCUAGAGUUUGAAAGAUGGUUCUGCUAUCACUCUUGGAUGGACCUGCGGUGCAUUAGCUAGUUGGUAAGGUAACGGCUUACCAAGGCAAUGAUGCAUAGCCGAGUUGAGAGACGGAUCGGCCACAUUGGGACUGAGACACGGCCCAAACUCCUACGGGAGGCAGCAGUAGGGAAUCUUCCACAAUGGACGAAAGUCUGAUGGUGCAACGCCGCGUGAGUGAAGAAGGAUUUCGGCUCGUAAAGCUCUGUUGGUAGUGAAGAAAGAUAGAGGUAGUAACUGGCCUUUAUUUGACGGUAAUUACUUAGAAAGUCACGGCUAACUACGUGCCAGCAGCCGCGGUAAUACGUAGGUGGCAAGCGUUGUCCGGAUUUAUUGGGCGUAAAGCGAGUGCAGGCGGUUCAAUAAGUCUGAUGUGAAAGCCUUCGGCUCAACCGGAGAAUUGCAUCAGAAACUGUUGAACUUGAGUGCAGAAGAGGAGAGUGGAACUCCAUGUGUAGCGGUGGAAUGCGUAGAUAUAUGGAAGAACACCAGUGGCGAGGGCGGCUCUCUGGUCUGCAUCUGACGCUGAGGCUCGAAAGCAUGGAUAGCGAACAGGAUUAGAUACCCUGGUAGUCCAUGCCGUAAACGAUGAGUGCUAAGUGU